This 495-nucleotide ribosomal RNA is filed under the name uncultured bacterium. RNAcentral describes it as "partial 16S ribosomal RNA". It matches the Rfam family "Bacterial small subunit ribosomal RNA", at positions 28 to 507 of the family's 1533-position model. The record is from RNAcentral.
GACGAACGCUGGCGGCGUGCCUAAUACAUGCAAGUCGAACGCUGAAGGAGGAGCUUGCUUCUCUGGAUGAGUUGCGAACGGGUGAGUAACGCGUAGGUAACCUGCCUGGUAGCGGGGGGUAACUAUUGGAAACGAUAGCUAAUACCGCAUAAUAGCAGUUGUUGCAUGACAACUGUUUGAAAGGUGCAAUUGCACCACUACCAGAUGGACCUGCGUUGUAUUAGCUAGUUGGUGGGGUAACGGCUCACCAAGGCGACGAUACAUAGCCGACCUGAGAGGGUGAUCGGCCACACUGGGACUGAGACACGGCCCAGACUCCUACGGGAGGCAGCAGUAGGGAAUCUUCGGCAAUGGACGGAAGUCUGACCGAGCAACGCCGCGGGAGUGAAGAAGGGUUUCGGAUCGUAAAGCUCUGUUGUAAGAGAAGAACGAGUGUGAGAGUGGAAAGUUCACACUGUGACGGUAUCUUACCAGAAAGGGACGGCUAACUACGUG